GUGUUCUACAAAUGGUUUUGGUUUGUUAAAGACAUUGAUUUAUUGUUGACAAUUUUGGCACAAUAAAUGCUUAGAUAAUCUCUACAUUCCAACAACUUAUUUUGACAUAUUCUCUCAAACAAUUAUCAAGAUCUAUCUUUUAAUAUAUUUGUGAUUAAUGUUUUAUCUUCCAUAUGAGAUGACUCCUUAGUCGAUUUUCAUAUGAGUUAAAUUAAAGAUCAAGGGCAAUUUCUACUCAUUUAUCCGAAGUGAAUCCCCGACGCUCUAGUAUUCGUCUCAAUCGUAUUUUCACCAAUCGUUCACUACUCAUAGACUAGUUCAUUUCCUUCCAAUACCCUAUGGUUCGACCUCGGACUUCCGAGAUUUACUACUUGCGACAACCUGCACUUGGAAUUGAGCUAAUGAAAAGAGGUUUUUCAUUUUAUGAUAACUUCGGGUUUCUUCAUUUUCGGCGAAUUGCAUGUCUAAUUCGAUUGGAAUCGAGCCAGAGAAAAGUUGUUUUUCAUUUCAUGAUAACUUCAAGUUUGUUCAUUUUUGGCGAAUUGCAAGUCUAAUUCAUCGGAAUAGAACCAAAGAAAAUUGGUUUUCCAUUCCAUGAUAACUUCGGAUUUGUUCAUUUUUGGCGAAUUACUAGUCUAACUCGAUCGGAAUCGAACCAAUGAAAAGUGGCUUUUAAUUUCAUGAUAACUUCGGGUUUGUUCGUUUUUGGAGUAUUGCUAGUCUAAUUCGAUUGGAAUCGAG
RNAcentral lists this long non-coding RNA (741 nucleotides) under Olea europaea subsp. europaea. Lineage: Eukaryota; Viridiplantae; Streptophyta; Magnoliopsida; Lamiales; Oleaceae. The record is from RNAcentral.